AUGCAGUGAUGAUCUCUUAACUGGUGCUUUUGACUCACUGUUGAAUGAAGACAUGAAUUUCCUUGGCUGUGUCUGAGCAU
Molecule: small nucleolar RNA, 80 nt
Organism: Cathartes aura (turkey vulture)
Lineage: Eukaryota; Metazoa; Chordata; Aves; Accipitriformes; Cathartidae
Rfam family: Small nucleolar RNA SNORD53/SNORD92
About the family: U53 is a member of the C/D class of snoRNA which contain the C (UGAUGA) and D (CUGA) box motifs. Most of the members of the box C/D family function in directing site-specific 2'-O-methylation of substrate RNAs.
Source: Rfam